This is a long non-coding RNA of Xenia sp. Carnegie-2017, 456 nucleotides long. RefSeq lists it as uncharacterized. Lineage: Eukaryota; Metazoa; Cnidaria; Anthozoa; Malacalcyonacea; Xeniidae. The record is from RefSeq and is a predicted model, not a curated record. The transcript is spliced from 2 exons.
UUAUCAGCCUGGCAUCAAAGGCAAUUAGUACAUGUAUACACUAUACCACACCUUUAAAUGAAUUUUUUGCUUUGGCAUUGCUUUCUACAUAAACAAAUCAUUUGUUAGGUGCUGUUUGAUUUGUUAUGUGUAUGAUUAAAUUUCAGGUUAAAAGACUCAUGGUGAAAAGACUCAUGGUGAAAGACUCAGGUGAAAAGACUCAGGUGAAAAGAUUCAGGUGAAAAGACUCAGGUGAAAAGACAAAAGUAUCAUGAGAGAGCUGAUGGGCAUAUAUCAUAUAUGAACGAGAACAGUAUUGUAUACAAAGCACUGUUUACCUUCUUUAUUUUUUUGGUUUUCAGAAUUGUAGCCACCUCAAAUAGUAGUAGAUUUUUAGCACAUUUUGAUGCAUUGAUGUAUUGUGUAAUAAUGCAAAAAACAAUCAUUAAACAGUAUAACCAUUUUUGGCUAAAUACA